This 253-nucleotide ribosomal RNA is filed under the name uncultured bacterium. RNAcentral describes it as "partial 16S ribosomal RNA". It matches the Rfam family "Bacterial small subunit ribosomal RNA", at positions 524 to 776 of the family's 1533-position model. The record is from RNAcentral.
UACGUAGGGACCAAGCGUUGUUCGGAUUUACUGGGCGUAAAGGGCGCGUAGGCGGCGUGACAAGUCACUUGUGAAAUCUCCGGGCUUAACUCGGAACGGCCAAGUGAUACUGUCGUGCUAGAGUGCAGAAGGGGCAAUCGGAAUUCUUGGUGUAGCGGUGAAAUGCGUAGAUAUCGAGAGGAACACCUGCGGCGAAGGCGGGUUGCUGGGCUGAUACUGACGCUGAGGCGCGAAAGCCAGGGGAGCGAACGGG